RNAcentral lists this ribosomal RNA (446 nucleotides) under uncultured organism. Its description in RNAcentral is "partial 16S ribosomal RNA". It matches the Rfam family "Bacterial small subunit ribosomal RNA", at positions 335 to 797 of the family's 1533-position model. The record is from RNAcentral.
ACUCCUGCGGGAGGCAGCAGUGGGGAAUAUUGGACAAUGGGCGCAAGCCUGAUCCAGCCAUGCCGCGUGAGUGAUGAAGGCCCUAGGGUUGUAAAGCUCUUUCACCGGUGAAGAUAAUGACGGUAACCGGAGAAGAAGCCCCGGCUAACUUCGUGCCAGCAGCCGCGGUAAUACGAAGGGGGCUAGCGUUGUUCGGAUUUACUGGGCGUAAAGCGCACGUAGGCGGACUAUUAAGUCAGGGGUGAAAUCCCGGGGCUCAACCCCGGAACUGCCUUUGAUACUGGUAGUCUUGAGUUCGAGAGAGGUGAGUGGAAUUCCGAGUGUAGAGGUGAAAUUCGUAGAUAUUCGGAGGAACACCAGUGGCGAAGGCGGCUCACUGGCUCGAUACUGACGCUGAGGUGCGAAAGCGUGGGGAGCAAACAGGAUUAGAUACCCCAGUAGUCCCA